AGCCACAGAGCGAAAUUGGUGCAACUUUCGGUGAUCUUCAUCCUAUUGAGCUCGAAUGUCCCUAGGGGCCAACGUCUAAUUAAUUUUAAUUAGGGUGAUAGCUAUGUGAGAAUUGAUUCACCUAAUUUGGGCAAGAAUCUGGUGAUGAAAUCCAGUUCUUAUCUUGUUGGGGUGAUUGCCCUUACUAUGUGCGGAUUAAUUGGUGUAUGUGUAUCAAGCAUGCAUUCACACUUUUGCUGAAUUUAAAAUCAAACAAUCACCACACAAGGAAAUUUAAAUAAGAAAGGUUUAGAGGUUACCAAAGGGAAUUUUUCCAGCAAUUUUUAAAGCAAACCUUUACAGCAUUCCUUUGCCAAUAGUUCCCUUUCUGAAUGUCCCAAACUUCCUCUUUGGUUCCUGAUCAAAUGAUACCAAGAAAAAUCAAAAAUUAGUAAGAGAGGAGAAGGAGAUAAGGAAAGUAAA
This 462-nucleotide long non-coding RNA is filed under the name Phoenix dactylifera (date palm). Its description in RNAcentral is "long non-coding RNA (PDAC_LNC017662)". The record is from RNAcentral. Lineage: Eukaryota; Viridiplantae; Streptophyta; Magnoliopsida; Arecales; Arecaceae.